Molecule: non-coding RNA, 24 nt
Filed under: Arabidopsis thaliana (thale cress)
Lineage: Eukaryota; Viridiplantae; Streptophyta; Magnoliopsida; Brassicales; Brassicaceae
Source: RNAcentral
GAUCUGCUUCUGUUUUGAACACCG